RNAcentral lists this ribosomal RNA (468 nucleotides) under uncultured bacterium. RNAcentral's name for it is "partial 16S ribosomal RNA". It matches the Rfam family "Bacterial small subunit ribosomal RNA", at positions 28 to 507 of the family's 1533-position model. The record is from RNAcentral.
GACGAACGCUGGCGGCGUGCUUAACACAUGCAAGUCGAACGGUAAGGCCCUGCACUUGUGCGAUGCUCGAGUGGCGAACGGGUGAGUAACACGUGAGUAACCUGCCCUUUUCUUUGGGAUAACUUCAUUAAACUCGGGCUCAUACCCGAUAUGAGCUCCUUCUGCAUGGUUGGGGUUUUAGAGUUUCGGCGGUUGGGCAUGGACUCGCGGCUUAUCAGCUUGUUGGUGGGGUAGUGGCUUACCAAGUCUUUGACGGGUAGCCGGACUGGGAGGGUGACCGGCCACAUUGGGACAGGGAUACGGGCCAGAGUGCUACGGGAGGCAGCGGUGGGGGACAGUGCAAGAAGGGCGGAAGGCUGAUGGAGCAACGCCGCGUGCGGGAUGACGGCCUGCGGGUUGGAAACCGCGUGCGCCUGGGAAGAAGAGUGAGUGACGGUAAUGGGUAAAGAAGCAACGGCUAACUACGUG